RNAcentral lists this ribosomal RNA (250 nucleotides) under uncultured prokaryote. RNAcentral describes it as "partial 16S ribosomal RNA". It matches the Rfam family "Bacterial small subunit ribosomal RNA", at positions 524 to 772 of the family's 1533-position model. The record is from RNAcentral.
UACGUAGGUGGCAAGCGUUGUCCGGAAUGACUGGGCGUAAAGGGAGUCUAGGUGGUAGAUUAAGUCAACUGUGAAAGCCUAUGGCUUAACCAUAGAAGAGCAGUUGAUACUGGUGUACUCAGAGUGCAGGAGAGGUAAUGGGAAUUCCUAGUGUAGCGGUAAAAUGCGUAGAGAUUAGGAGGAACACCGGAGGCGAAGGCGCGUUACUGGACUGUAACUGACACUGAAGCUCGAAAGCGUGGGGAGCAAA